Molecule: ribosomal RNA, 253 nt
Filed under: uncultured bacterium
Lineage: Bacteria
Description: partial 16S ribosomal RNA
Rfam family: Bacterial small subunit ribosomal RNA
Source: RNAcentral
UACGUAGGGUGCAAGCGUUGUCCGGAAUUAUUGGGCGUAAAGAGCGUGUAGGCGGCCCGGUUAGUCCGCUGUGAAAGUCCAGGGCUCAACCCUGGAAUGCCGGUGGAUACUGUCGGGCUAGAGUCCGGAAGGGGCGAGUGGAAUUCCCGGUGUAGCGGUGAAAUGCGCAGAUAUCUGGAGGAACACCGGUGGCGAAGGCGGCAUCCUGGACCGGCAUUGACGCUGAGGCGCGAAAGCCAGGGGAGCAAACGGG